CUGGCAGUGAAAUAAUGGGUGUCUAUAUAGAAUGAAAUUCAAAACAGUGUGGCUGUGGCCAUUGGUUGACACAUUAAAUUCAUCCAUUGACUGGGACAAUUUACGUGAACGUUUGUCUGUAACGACCACUGUUCACGACGUACCUACGAUAGACAUUUAAACUGUGGGGUCACCAAGGUUUCUUAACGCCUUUAAUUAUAAAAUAAUUCGAAAAAUUAAUCAGAAAUAACCUAUAUG
RNAcentral lists this long non-coding RNA (237 nucleotides) under Mytilus galloprovincialis (Mediterranean mussel). Lineage: Eukaryota; Metazoa; Mollusca; Bivalvia; Mytilida; Mytilidae. The record is from RNAcentral.